This 63-nucleotide transfer RNA is filed under the name Paragavialidium sichuanense. RNAcentral describes it as "tRNA-Asp". The record is from RNAcentral. Lineage: Eukaryota; Metazoa; Arthropoda; Insecta; Orthoptera; Tetrigidae.
AAGAAAUUAGUUAAAUUAUAACAUUAAAAUGUCAAUUUAAAAUAACUGAAAAAGUAUUUCUUG